GAGAGUUUGAAUCAUGGCUCAGAUUGAACGCUGGCGGCAGGCCUAACACAUGCAAGUCGAGCGGAAACGAGUUAUCUGAACCUUCGGGGGACGAUAACGGCGUCGAGCGGCGGACGGGUGAGUAAUGCCUAGGAAAUUGCCCUGAUGUGGGGGAUUACCAUUGGAAACGAUGGCUAAUUCCGCAUGAUGCCUACGGGCCAAAGAGGGGGACCUUCGGGCCUCUCGCGUCAGGAUAUGCCUAGGUGGGAUUAGCUAGUUGGUGAGGUAAGGGCUCACCAAGGCGACGAUCCCUAGCUGGUCUGAGAGGAUGAUCAGCCACACUGGAACUGAGACACGGUCCAGACUCCUACGGGAGGCAGCAGUGGGGAAUAUUGCACAAUGGGCGCAAGCCUGAUGCAGCCAUGCCGCGUGUGUGAAGAAGGCCUUCGGGUUGUAAAGCACUUUCAGUCGUGAGGAAGGCAGUGUAGUUAAUAGCUGCAUUAUUUGACGUUAGCGACAGAAGAAGCACCGGCUAACUCCCUGCCAGCAGCCGCGGUAAUACGGAGGGUGCGAGCGUUAAUCGGAAUUACUGGGCGUAAAGCGCAUGCAGGUGGUUUGUUAAGUCAGAUGUGAAAGCCCGGGGCUCAACCUCGGAAUUGCAUUUGAAACUGGCAGACUAGAGUACUGUAGAGGGGGGUAGAAUUUCAGGUGUAGCGGUGAAAUGCGUAGAGAUCUGAAGGAAUACCGGUGGCGAAGGCGGCCCCCUGGACAGAUACUGACACUCAGAUGCGAAAGCGUGGGGAGCAAACAGGAUUAGAUACCCUGGUAGUCCACGCCGUAAACGAUGUCUACUUGGAGGUUGUGGCCUUGAGCCGUGGCUUUCGGAGCUAACGCGUUAAGUAGACCGCCUGGGGAGUACGGUCGCAAGAUUAAAACUCAAAUGAAUUGACGGGGGCCCGCACAAGCGGUGGAGCAUGUGGUUUAAUUCGAUGCAACGCGAAGAACCUUACCUACUCUUGACAUCCAGAGAACUUUCCAGAGAUGGAUUGGUGCCUUCGGGAACUCUGAGACAGGUGCUGCAUGGCUGUCGUCAGCUCGUGUUGUGAAAUGUUGGGUUAAGUCCCGCAACGAGCGCAACCCUUAUCCUUGUUUGUCAGCGAGUAAUGUCGGGAACUCCAGGGAGACUGCCGGUGAUAAACCGGAGGAAGGUGGGGACGACGUCAAGUCAUCAUGGCCCUUACGAGUAGGGCUACACACGUGCUACAAUGGCGCAUACAGAGGGCGGCCAACUUGCGAAAGUGAGCGAAUCCCAAAAAGUGCGUCGUAGUCCGGAUUGGAGUCUGCAACUCGACUCCAUGAAGUCGGAAUCGCUAGUAAUCGUGGAUCAGAAUGCCACGGUGAAUACGUUCCCGGGCCUUGUACACACCGCCCGUCACACCAUGGGAGUGGGCUGCAAAAGAAGUAGGUAG
This 1448-nucleotide ribosomal RNA is filed under the name Vibrio sp. VPMP21. RNAcentral describes it as "bacterial SSU rRNA". It matches the Rfam family "Bacterial small subunit ribosomal RNA". Lineage: Bacteria; Pseudomonadati; Pseudomonadota; Gammaproteobacteria; Vibrionales; Vibrionaceae. The record is from RNAcentral.